Molecule: ribosomal RNA, 356 nt
Rfam family: Archaeal large subunit ribosomal RNA (bases 1-167)
ACCUGCCCUAUGAAUAAUUUAUUUUAAAUGGCCGCGGUAUUUUGACCGUGCAAAGGUAGCAUAAUAAUUAGUUUCUUAAUUGGGAACUGGAAUGAAUGGUCGAACGAGAAAAAGACUGUCUCAAUUUAAUUUAAAUUAGAAUUUUAUUUUUAAGUAAAAAAGCUUAAAUAUUCUUAAAAGACGAGAAGACCCUAUAGAGUUUUAUAUAAUUUAUUAUAAUUGAAAAUUAAAGUAUCUUAGAUUUAGUUAUAAUAGUUUAUAUUUGGUUGGGGCGAUUAAAAAAUUUAAUUAACUUUUUUUAGUUUUAAACCAUUGAUUUAUGAAUAAAUGAUCCAUAUUUUAUGAUUAAAAGAUUA